RNAcentral lists this transfer RNA (72 nucleotides) under Trigonopterus kotamobagensis. Its description in RNAcentral is "tRNA-Ile". Lineage: Eukaryota; Metazoa; Arthropoda; Insecta; Coleoptera; Curculionidae. The record is from RNAcentral.
CAUAGAGUACCUGAACAAAGGAUUAUUUUGAUGAAAUAAAUUACACAGAACCCCCUCCCUCUGUCUCUGUGA